AUUGAACGCUGGCGGCAGGCCUAACACAUGCAAGUCGAGCGGAAGAAGGGCGUUUGCUCUUGGAUUCAGCGGCGGACGGGUGAGUAAUGCCUAGGAAUCUGCCUGGUAGUGGGGGAUAACGUCCGGAAACGGGCGCUAAUACCGCAUACGACCUGCGGGUGAAAGUGGGGGAUCUUAAGACCUCACGCUAUCAGAUGAGCCUAGGUCGGAUUAGCUAGUUGGCGGGGUAAAGGCCUACCAAGGCGACGAUCCGUAACUGGUCUGAGAGGAUGAUCAGUCACACUGGAACUGAGACACGGUCCAGACUCCUACGGGAGGCAGCAGUGGGGAAUAUUGGACAAUGGGCGAAAGCCUGAUCCAGCCAUGCCGCGUGUGUGAAGAAGGUCUUCGGAUUGUAAAGCACUUUAAUUUGGGAAGAAGGGCAGUAAGUUAAUACCUGGCUGUUUUGACGUUACCAACAGAAUAAGCACCGGCUAACUUCGUG
Molecule: ribosomal RNA, 484 nt
Filed under: uncultured bacterium
Lineage: Bacteria
Description: partial 16S ribosomal RNA
Rfam family: Bacterial small subunit ribosomal RNA
Source: RNAcentral